UCCGAUAUGGUGUAGUGGCUAACAUUAUCGCCUCUCAUGUUGAUGAACGCGAUAGCCCGGGGUUCGAUUCCCCGUGUCGGAA
RNAcentral lists this transfer RNA (82 nucleotides) under Lentinula boryana. RNAcentral describes it as "tRNA-Glu". It matches the Rfam family "tRNA". Rfam says of the family: Transfer RNA (tRNA) molecules are approximately 80 nucleotides in length. Lineage: Eukaryota; Fungi; Basidiomycota; Agaricomycetes; Agaricales; Omphalotaceae. The record is from RNAcentral.